CUACGGGAGGCUGCAGUGAGGAAUAUUGCACAAUGGGGGGAACCCUGAUGCAGCAACGCCGCGCGGAGGAUGACGCAUUUCGGUGUGUAAACUCCUUUUAUAUGUCAAGAAAAUGACGGUAGCAUAUGAAUAAGCACCGGCUAACUCCGUGCCAGCAGCCGCGGUGAAUACGGAGGGUGCAAGCGUUACUCGGAAUCACUGGGCGUAAAGGACGCGUAGGCGGGUUGGAAAGUCAGGUGUGAAAUCCUACAGCUUAACUGUAGAACUGCACUUGAAACUUCUAAUCUAGAGUAUGGGAGGGGGAGAUGGAAUUAGUGGUGUAGGGGUAAAAUCCGUAGAUAUCACUAGGAAUACCUAAAGCGAAGGCGAUCUCCUGGAACAUUACUGACGCUAAGGCGUGAAAGCGUGGGGAGCAAACAGGAUUAGAUACCCCCGUAGUC
Molecule: ribosomal RNA, 440 nt
Filed under: uncultured bacterium
Lineage: Bacteria
Description: partial 16S ribosomal RNA
Rfam family: Bacterial small subunit ribosomal RNA
Source: RNAcentral